Molecule: ribosomal RNA, 253 nt
Filed under: uncultured bacterium
Lineage: Bacteria
Description: partial 16S ribosomal RNA
Rfam family: Bacterial small subunit ribosomal RNA
Source: RNAcentral
UACGGGGGGGGCAAGCGUUGUUCGGAAUUACUGGGCGUAAAGGGCUCGUAGGUGGCCAACUAAGUCAGACGUGAAAUCCCCAGGCUCAACUUGGGAACUGCGUCUGAUACUGGAUGGCUUGAAUUCGGGAGAGGGAUGCAGAAUUCCAGGUGUAGCGGUGAAAUGCGUAGAUAUUCGGAGGAACACCAGAAGCGAAGGCGGCCAACUGGCCCGAUACUGACGCUGAGGCGCGAAGGCGUGGGGAGCAAACAGG